GAUGAACGCUGGCGGCGUGCCUAAUACAUGCCAGUCAAGCGAACAGACGAGGAGCUUGCUCCUCUGACGCAAGCGGCGGCCGGGUGAGUAACACGUGGAUAACCUACCUAUAAGACUGGGAUAACUUCGGGAAACCGGAGCUAAUACCGGAUAAAAUAUUGAACCGCAUGGUUCAAUAGUGAAAGACGGUUUUGCUGUCACUUAUAGAUGGAUCCGCGCCGCAUUAGCUAGUUGGUAAGGUAACGGCUUACCAAGGCAACGAUGCGUAGCCGACCUGAGAGGGUGAUCGGCCACACUGGAACUGAGACACGGUCCAGACUCCUACGGGAGGCAGCAGUAGGGAAUCUUCCGCAAUGGGCGAAAGGCUGACGGAGCAACGCCGCGUGAGUGAUGAAGGUCUUCGGGUCGUAAAACUCUGUUAUUAGGGAAGAACAAAUGUGUAAGUAACUAUGCACGUCUUGACGGUACCUAAUCAGAAAGCCACGGCUAACUACGUG
This 497-nucleotide ribosomal RNA is filed under the name uncultured bacterium. Its description in RNAcentral is "partial 16S ribosomal RNA". It matches the Rfam family "Bacterial small subunit ribosomal RNA", at positions 28 to 507 of the family's 1533-position model. The record is from RNAcentral.